RNAcentral lists this ribosomal RNA (440 nucleotides) under uncultured bacterium. RNAcentral's name for it is "partial 16S ribosomal RNA". It matches the Rfam family "Bacterial small subunit ribosomal RNA", at positions 338 to 795 of the family's 1533-position model. The record is from RNAcentral.
CCUACGGGAGGCAGCAGUGGGGAAUAUUGCACAAUGGGGGAAACCCUGAUGCAGCGACGCCGCGUGAGUGAAGAAGUAAUUCGGUAUGUAAAGCUCUAUCAGCAGGGAAGAAAAUGACGGUACCUGAGUAAGAAGCCCCGGCUAACUACGGGCCAGCAGGCGCGGUAAUACGUAGGGGGCAAGCGUUAUCCGGAUUUACUGGGUGUAAAGGGAGCGUAGACGGCAGUGCAAGUCUGGAGUGAAAGGCGGGGGGUCAACCCCCGGAGGGCUGUGGAAACUGGACGGCUGGAGUGCAGGAGAGGUAAGUGGAAGUCGUAGUGUAGCGGUGAAAUGCGUAGAUAUUAGGAGGAACACCAGUGGCGAAGGCGGCUUACUGGACUGUAACUGACGUUGAGGCUCGAAAGCGUGGGGAGCAAACAGGAUUAGAUACCCGAGUAGUC